UCUCGUGUGCAGCCCCCGCCGCCAUCUUGAUUGAGGUGGGCGUCCACUCAAGUGCUCCUCACAGAGCCACACUGCCGAAGGGCCUGAAGCUCCAGGUGCGAGGCCUCUCCGCGCGGCCUCUGCGAGCCAGUCAAAGUAGACUGAACACGAAGGAUGAGGAAGAAAAAAGUCCCUCCAAACACAUCUGCUCACUCCCAGCUUGAAAGAUGACGCCACCCUGACACCCAUGGUCACUCAUGACAGAUGCUGAGGAGCCUCCCAAACCAGAAUCAUCUCGGAGGUCUGUCCUCUCUUCUGUAGACGGACCUGCAUCCGCUCUGCCUCCUCAGGUCUCAUCACAGCAUCUUAUCUCCAUCUAUACCUGGGUGCGUGUUGUGUCUGCGUGAGCUCACGACCCCUCGAGGCCAGAACUGUGGGCGUCCCUCUCCUCUUCACGUCUCCUUAGGAUGGAGAAAGUCAACGGAGUGGUCCCUGCAGGGUCCUAUGGAAACAGGUGGGAAAACUGAGUCAAGAAAACGGAAAAGUCCUAAAGCCAUCUUAUUUGUGACCAGUUUGUGGGCGGCACCUGAAUUCCCUGAGACCCAGUCUUUGCUGCCAGUUUGGGUCUGUGAGUCUCCACUGUAGAAAACAGAUCUUUCCAGUGAGUUAGAAACUCAAGAAGGUAAUACUUGUAACUCCUGUCUCCCAGCCAGCACAUGUCCGUCUUUGCUCUAGGACGCUUGAAGUUGUACGGUGGAGGCUCCCUGCAGCCCUGAGCCUCGAUACAUGACGCGUUCUAGCUGGAAACGUCACAUUUAAUCUCCAUCAUCAAGUCUGAGGGGAGCAAUGAGCGCUUCAGCACGAAAAUUUUUGGAGGCUUUGUGAGCUAAACAAAGCCAAUAAAAAAAAAAAAAUCUCCAUCAUCUAUUUAUAACAGGAACCACAGUCUCUGUGCUGUCUACCUCCUGAGUCAGUUCUUCUGGUAAAUUACGUGUGAAUUAUAAGUAAUAUCUGUAUGGUGCUUCAGAAAGUGCUUCCACCUACGAUCAUAUUGUCAUAGAGAUCCUUUCAGAAAGCUAUGAACAAACUUUAUAGAUGAGAAAAUACCUUCAGAGAGGUACAUUAACUUGCUCACCAUCACAGUUAGUAAAAUGGGGUAGCCAAGUUUGGAACCAAGAUCAACUGAAAAGUGUUAGUCACUCAGUUGUGUCCAACUCUUUGCGACCCCAUGGACCCACCAGGCUUC
Long non-coding RNA from Odocoileus virginianus texanus, 1225 nucleotides. RefSeq lists it as uncharacterized. Lineage: Eukaryota; Metazoa; Chordata; Mammalia; Artiodactyla; Cervidae. The record is from RefSeq and is a predicted model, not a curated record.